Molecule: ribosomal RNA, 108 nt
Filed under: Triticum aestivum (bread wheat)
Lineage: Eukaryota; Viridiplantae; Streptophyta; Magnoliopsida; Poales; Poaceae
Source: RNAcentral
UCUAGGGAGAGUUGGGGCGCGAAAAGUCAGAACUCCGAAGUUAAGCGUGCUUGCGCAAGAGUAGUACUAGGGUGGGUGACCUCCUGGGAAGUCCUCGUGUUGCAUUCC